AUUGAACGCUGGCGGCAUGCUUUACACAUGCAAGUCGAACGGCAGCGCGGGCUUCGGCCUGGCGGCGAGUGGCGAACGGGUGAGUAAUGCAUCAGAACGUUCCCAGUCGUGGGGGAUAGCCCGGCUACAGCCGGCUUAAUACCGCAUACGAUCUGUGGGUGAAACCGGGGGACCGAAAGGCCUCGCGCUAUUGGCGCGGCCGAUGUCGGAUUAGCUCGUUGGUGGGGUAAAGGCUUACCAAGGCGACGAUCCGUAGCUGGUCUGAGAGGACGACCAGCCACACUGGGACUGAGACACGGCCCAGACUCCGACGGGAGGCAGCAGUGGGGAAUUUUGGACAAUGGGGGCAAGCCUGAUCCAGCCAGGCCGCGUGCGGGAAGAAGGCCUUCGGGUUGUAAACCGCUUUUGUUCGGGAAGAAAGCCUCUGGGCUAAUACCCCGGGGGGAUGACGGUACCGGAAGAAUAAGCACCGGCUAACUACGUG
RNAcentral lists this ribosomal RNA (484 nucleotides) under uncultured bacterium. RNAcentral describes it as "partial 16S ribosomal RNA". It matches the Rfam family "Bacterial small subunit ribosomal RNA", at positions 28 to 507 of the family's 1533-position model. The record is from RNAcentral.